UCGAACGGUAACAGGUCUUCGGAUGCUGACGAGUGGCGAACGGGUGAGUAAUACAUCGGAACGUGCCCGAUCGUGGGGGAUAACGAAGCGAAAGCUUUGCUAAUACCGCAUAAGAUCUACGGAUGAAAGCAGGGGACCGCAAGGCCUUGCGCGAACGGAGCGGCCGAUGGCAGAUUAGGUAGUUGGUGGGAUAAAAGCUUACCAAGCCGACGAUCUGUAGCUGGUCUGAGAGGACGACCAGCCACACUGGGACUGAGACACGGCCCAGACUCCUACGGGAGGCAGCAGUGGGGAAUUUUGGACAAUGGGCGAAAGCCUGAUCCAGCCAUGCCGCGUGCAGGAUGAAGGCCUUCGGGUUGUAAACUGCUUUUGUACGGAACGAAAAGACUCUGGUUAAUACCUGGGGUCCAUGACGGUACCGUAAGAAUAA
Molecule: ribosomal RNA, 430 nt
Filed under: Betaproteobacteria bacterium
Lineage: Bacteria; Pseudomonadati; Pseudomonadota; Betaproteobacteria
Description: bacterial SSU rRNA
Rfam family: Bacterial small subunit ribosomal RNA
Source: RNAcentral